This 520-nucleotide ribosomal RNA is filed under the name uncultured Glomus. Its description in RNAcentral is "partial 18S ribosomal RNA". The record is from RNAcentral. Lineage: Eukaryota; Fungi; Glomeromycota; Glomeromycetes; Glomerales; Glomeraceae.
CGUAAGGCGCCGAAUGAGUCAUUAAAAAAUUAACAUCAUCCGAUCCCUAGUCGGCAUAGUUUAUGGUUAAGACUACGACGGUAUCUGAUCGUCUUCGAUCCCCCUAACUUUCGUUCUUGAUUAAUGAAAACAUCCUUGGCAAAUGCUUUCGCAGUAGUUAGUCUUCAAUAAAUCCAAGAAUUUCACCUCUGACAAUUGAAUACUAAUGCCCCCAACUAUCCCUAUUAAUCAUUACGUCAAUCCCUAGAAACCAACAAAAUAGGAUCGAACGUCCUAUUUCAUUAUUCCAUGCUAAUGUAUUCAAGCGUUAGCUUGCUUUAAACACUCUAAUUUUUUCAAAGUAACAGUCCAGUUUCCCUGCAACACCAAAUUAAUGGCAUUACAGUUCAUCAGGAAGGAGGAGUCAGUGAGACCAGUACGUACCAGUGGCACGACCAACCUACUAACCCCGAAAUUCAACUACGAGCUUUUUAACUGCAACAACUUUAAUAUACGCUAUUGGAGCUGGAAUUACCGCGGC